CAGUAGCCGCGGUAAUACAGAGGGUGCAAGCGUUAAUCGGAAUUACUGGGCGUAAAGCGCGCGUAGGUGGUUUGUUAAGUUGGAUGUGAAAUCCCCGGGCUCAACCUGGGAACUGCAUUCAAAACUGACUGACUAGAGUAUGGUAGAGGGUGGUGGAAUUUCCUGUGUAGCGGUGAAAUGCGUAGAUAUAGGAAGGAACACCAGUGGCGAAGGCGACCACCUGGACUAAUACUGACACUGAGGUGCGAAAGCGUGGGGAGCAAACAGGAUUAGAUACCCUAGUAGUCCCUGUCUCUUAUAC
This 301-nucleotide ribosomal RNA is filed under the name uncultured bacterium. RNAcentral's name for it is "partial 16S ribosomal RNA". It matches the Rfam family "Bacterial small subunit ribosomal RNA", at positions 509 to 807 of the family's 1533-position model. The record is from RNAcentral.